This 22-nucleotide non-coding RNA is filed under the name Rattus norvegicus (Norway rat). Lineage: Eukaryota; Metazoa; Chordata; Mammalia; Rodentia; Muridae. The record is from RNAcentral.
CUACUGAGAUAUUGUCAUGUGU